GUGGGGAAUCUUGCGCAAUGGGCGAAAGCCUGACGCAGCCAUGCCGCGUAGAUGAUGAAGGUCUUAGGAUUGUAAAAUCCUUUCACCGGUGAAGAUAAUGACUGUAGCCGGAGAAGAAGCCCCGGCUAACUUCGUGCCAGCAGCCGCGGUAAUACGAAGGGGGCUAGCGUUGCUCGGAUUUACUGGGCGUAAAGGGCGCGUAGGCGGACAUUUAAGUCAGGGGUGAAAUCCCGGGGCUCAACCUCGGAACUGCCUUUGAUACUGGGUGUCUUGAGUAUGAGAGAGGUGUGUGGAACGCCGAGUGUAGAGGUGAAAUUCGUAGAUAUUCGGAAGAACACCAGUGGCGAAGGCGACACACUGGCUCAUUACUGACGCUGAGGCGCGAAAGCGUGGGGAGCAAACAGGAUUAGAAACCCCAGUAGUCC
RNAcentral lists this ribosomal RNA (425 nucleotides) under uncultured bacterium. RNAcentral's name for it is "partial 16S ribosomal RNA". It matches the Rfam family "Bacterial small subunit ribosomal RNA", at positions 354 to 796 of the family's 1533-position model. The record is from RNAcentral.